CUGCUCAAUGAUUUUUUAAAUUGCUGUGGUAUUUUGACUAUACGAAGGUAUUGAAAUAAGACUUUAAAUGAGUGCUAAGAGAAUGAUAGAACAAUUUAUUUCUGUCUUUUAAAUAAAAAAAUAGAAGUUAACUUUUUUGUGCAAAGGCAAAAAUUUAUGUAAGGGACAAGAAGACCCUAUGAAUUUUGAUUUAUUUUAUAUAAUGUUUUAUAAUAAAAUGAAUUUAAUUGGGGCGAUUGAAAAAGAAUGAAGAUCUUUUUUUUUGAGAAUUUGAUCCAUUAUUAAUGAUUUAAUGAACUAAAUACUCUAGGGAUAACAGCGUUAUAAUUUUGAAUAGCACGAAUUGAUAAAAUUGAUUGCGACCUCGAUGUUGGAUUAGGAUUCUUAUUUAAUGAAGAAGUUAAAUUUAAGAAGUUUGUUCACUUUUAAAUUCCUACUUGAUCUGAGUUCAGACCGG
Molecule: ribosomal RNA, 457 nt
Filed under: Ixodes ornithorhynchi (platypus tick)
Lineage: Eukaryota; Metazoa; Arthropoda; Arachnida; Ixodida; Ixodidae
Description: partial 16S ribosomal RNA
Rfam family: Archaeal large subunit ribosomal RNA (bases 312-457)
Source: RNAcentral